Long non-coding RNA from Mesocricetus auratus (golden hamster), 570 nucleotides. RefSeq lists it as uncharacterized. The transcript has 2 exons. The record is from RefSeq and is a predicted model, not a curated record. Lineage: Eukaryota; Metazoa; Chordata; Mammalia; Rodentia; Cricetidae.
AUGGCCUCAGGUAAAUCAUCGGCUCUGGCCCCAACAUUCUAUUCUCUAAACUAUAGAUGGUGAUGCAAGAUCUUCACAGAGGUCCUGGUAAUGAGUUAAUAGAUUGAAAGCGUUUAUUGCUUGGCGCUCAGUCAAUGGUAGCUGAUAACAAUGGUGGUCAUUCCAUAGUAUGGAAUAUGAACAUAAAAAUUCUUGCAUUUUUAUGAGCCUGCUCCAGGGCCCAGGUGUCAAGUUCUGGCCAGUCCUUCGGCAGUGUGGCUUAUAGCUCUUCCAUGAGUCUCCAUCCCAGGCCUGAGAUCUCACAGAACCAACGCAGCCUCAGACAGGAGCUGUCUGCUUGCAAAAUCAGGAAGGCACCUGGAUGUGCAAGGACACCGAGAAGAGGGUCUCUGAAGCCGCCGUCCCACAAAGCUUGAUGCCAAAGCCCGCUGGGAUAGACGAGAGCUCAUCACUUGCCCAAGACAUGUGGGGGCAGGUGUUCCCCUUUUCCUUCGCUUUGCCCAGUGUCAAGCCACCCUCGCUCUUGAAAUACUCUUUAUAACCUUCUCAAAAUGUGUCCUUUCAACAUCA